This 646-nucleotide long non-coding RNA is filed under the name Nicotiana benthamiana. RNAcentral describes it as "long non-coding RNA (NBEN_LNC017848)". Lineage: Eukaryota; Viridiplantae; Streptophyta; Magnoliopsida; Solanales; Solanaceae. The record is from RNAcentral.
AGAUUAAAAAAUACCUAAAAUAGUUGAAUCCCCUUGGAAACUUUUGAGUUCAUUACACUACUUGUUUAGAAAACUGCUCAAACUCUGCUCAUUUAGGAGUAUUCUGAUGUCAUUUGGUGAAGAAAACUUCGGAAAAAUCAUAGCCUCUCAUUGUGGGAUUUGAAAUAGAUUGAAGUUGUGUUUUGAAAAGUUCUGGUUCAAGCUUUGUUGUGGAUUUACUGUUCCAUUGAAUUUUUGAGUUGAUUUUACUGUGUAGAUUGUUGAAUCUGGGAUGGUUUCUAAUAUUUGCUGCUGCUGAUCCCUCGCUUCUUAUUUGCUUUUAUUUCCAGAUAUCUUUUAGAACCACAAGCAACAUGUAAAGAUGUGAAUCUGCACUUCAAAUAUGAAAUACUUUGAUAUCAAUAGCCUUUCAAGUUUACUUCUUCUGCUUCUUCUUUUUAGUUCUGAUUCUUGUAAAUCUUAGAUUGUGCAUGCUAGUCCCCUUGGCCUUAUUCUGGAGGAGCAUGAGCAUGGAGAUUGGACUCAAAUGAGCUGAAGUCCUUAAACAUAUGCAUGUCAUAAUAGUCUUGUAAUAGAAGCAAAGUUUAAGCCUGUGAUUCAUACUAGUUUAUUCAAGUGUUAAUAAUAAACUACUGUUUAUUGUGAC